GAUAAACGCUGGCGGCGUGCCUUAUGCAUGCAAGUCGAACGGUACCGAUGAGCCAAGCUUGCUUGGAGCAUCGGGAGAGUGGCAAGCGGGUGAGUAACACGUAAGUAACCUGCCCCCAAGUAGGGAAUAACCCCGAGAAAUCGGAGCUAAUACCGUAUGUGGUGGUGGAGGUAAGGCUUCAUCACUAAAGCCUUCGGGCGCUUGGGGAGGGGCUUGUGUCCGAUUAGCUAGUUGGUAGGGUAACGGUUUACCAAGGCGAUGAUCGGUAGCUGGUCUGAGAGGACGAUCAGCCACACUGGGACUGAGAUACGGCCCAGACUCCUACGGGAGGCAGCAGCAAGGAAUUUUGUGCAAUGGGCGAAAGCCUGACACAGCGACGCCGCGUGAGGGAUGAAGGCCUUCGGGUUGUAAACCUCUUUUCUCAGGGAAGAAUAAUGACGGUACCUGAGGAAUAAGUCUCGGCUAACUACGUGCCAGCAGCCGCGGUAAUACGUAGGAGGCGAGCGUUAUCCGGAUUUACUGGGCGUAAAGAGGGCGUAGGCGGCUUUUCAAGUCGGGUGUAAAAUCUCCCCGCUUAACGGGGAGGGGUCAUUCGAUACUGUUAAGCUAGAGGGCAGCAGAGGGAGGUGGAAUUCCCGGUGGAGUGGUGAAAUGCGUAGAUAUCGGGAGGAACACCAGUGGCGAAGGCGGCCUCCUGGGCCGUUUCUGACGUUGAGGCCCGAAAGCGUGGGGAGCGAACAGGAUUAGAUACCCUGGUAGUCCACGCUGUUAACGAUGGAUACUAGGUAUAGGGAGUAUCGACCCUCUCUGUGCCGAAGCUAACGCGUUAAGUAUCCCGCCUGGGGACUACGGCCGCAAGGCUA
This 863-nucleotide ribosomal RNA is filed under the name uncultured Chloroflexota bacterium. RNAcentral's name for it is "bacterial SSU rRNA". It matches the Rfam family "Bacterial small subunit ribosomal RNA", at positions 28 to 896 of the family's 1533-position model. Lineage: Bacteria; Bacillati; Chloroflexota. The record is from RNAcentral.